This 1565-nucleotide long non-coding RNA is filed under the name Homo sapiens (human). RNAcentral's name for it is "HSALNT0118383". The record is from RNAcentral. Lineage: Eukaryota; Metazoa; Chordata; Mammalia; Primates; Hominidae.
GGGGGGCGGGAGGCGCUCGGCCCGUCGCCCCAGGAGCCCGCUUUGUGACCUUGGGGGCCUUAUCCGGGCUUUCCCUCAUCUGCAGAAGGAGCCCCGGUGGGCUGCUCGGCUGUCUUCUGCUGCCGGCAGGAGCUGGUCCUCCACCUUCUCUGGUCAUCCGUGGGUGGACUUCUUGGGAGAAAGAACUCAGUGUCGUCUUUGGAGGCAGAGACUCUCCACUGCUUCUGGGGUGAGUUCCAAUUCCAAGGGUCCCCCCAACCCCCUACCCCCAGCAGUGGUCAGUCUGUUCUGGAACAGGACAGUAGGGCCAAAAUGCUGAGUUUGAAAAAUCCUGUGUCCAUCACAUUGGCUGGCGACUUUAGACAUUCUUUUAGUAAGUAUUUGAAUGCUUCUUAAGUGCUGGUGUGAGGGGUAUUCAGACAUGAGCAAAGGGAGCUUCUGCCGCCCAGGAGCUGGCUGUACUCAGGGAGAGAGAUGAUAAGACAGUCUCAUAAGUGUAUUUUUAAGAUGUGGUGAGUGCUGUGAGGGAAGAAUUACAGGGAACUGUGUCACCCACUGGGGCCCAGGGGGCUGCCUCAGAAGACCACCCAGGAAAAGGGGAAGAGAGUUCUGGGGAUGGGGAAUAACACACACACGGCCUGAGAUGAGAUGAACAUGCAGCCACUUUAUUCCAAAGCUGUGAAGUGUUCUUCUGUUGUGUCCUCAUAUAUGGCGGCCUGGCUCUGGGAGUUUAAAGUUGCUGCUUCAGGUGGUGGCCAGGCAGGAGACAGCUCUACUGAGCUUGGCAUGGCACCUAGGCCCAGCCUGAAUCUGCGGCCUGAGGCUUGAAAGAGAAAAGCCCUCCUCUGGGCCUCAAGUGGGUGGCAGUUGGGAAACCGUUGCUGCGUGUACCCAGCGCCCUGAGUGCUGGGCAGGGCCGUGUCCUCCUGGAGGUGGCUAGCAUAACACGCAGCACGUGGAUUUCGACACUUUGGGCAUCUUCACACGCCAAAGAGCUGUGGACACUGAGAAGGUUGGCUUCUGGGAGAGGCUGGAGGUUGGGGUGGCGCUCCCAGGCGUAGUUCUGUGACUUGAGUCUUUGGGGGUUAGUGAUUCUGAAACUAGAAAGGGGGCUGGAGCCAGUCAGGGGGCACGUGUGACCUUCGGGACAGAGGUGGCUUCUGGAUGCCUGUGUGUCCCAGCCUUUGACUUGGGUGAGCCUGUGUGAAUGCUCAGAGCUUCCUGGCUAUUAAAGUGUGGAUUUUAAAGCAACUGCUCAAAGCAGUUCAGGAAAUGAGUACGCGCGGCUGCUAUGGUUUGGGUGUUUGUCCAGGUGUCAGGCUGUUCUCGCAUUGCUGUAAAGAAAUACCUGAGACUGGGUCAUUUAUAAAGAAGAGGUGAGACUGGCGCAUGGUUCUGCAGGCUGUACAGGAAGCAUGGUGCUGGCAUCUGCCUGGCUUCUAGGGAGCCUCAGGAAGCCUUUAAUCAUGGUGGACGGUGAGGGGGAGUAGGUAUGUCACAUGGCGAAAACAGGAACAAGCAAGAGAGAGUGAGUGGGGAGGCGCCACACACUUUUAAAGACGACC